CCUACGGGGUGCAGCAGUGGGGAAUAUUGGGCAAUGGGCGCAAGUCUGACCCAGCAACGCCGCGUGAAGGAAGAAGGCUUUCGGGUUGUAAACUUCUUUUCUCAGGGACGAAGCAAGUGACGGUACCUGAGGAAUAAGCCACGGCUAACUACGUGCCAGCAGCCGCGGUAAUACGUAGGUGGCAAGCGUUAUCCGGAUUUACUGGGUGUAAAGGGCGUGUAGGCGGGAAAGCAAGUCAGAGGUGAAAACCAUGGGCUCAACCUGUGGCCUGCAUUUGAAACUGUUUUUCUUGAGUGCUGGGGAGGCAGACGGAAUUCCUAGUGUAGCGGUGAAAUGCGUAGAUAUUAGGAGGAACACCAGUGGCGAAGGCGGUCUGCUGGACAGCAACUGACGCUGAGGCGCGAAAGCGUGGGGAGCAAACAGGAUUAGAUACCCUGGUAGUC
This 443-nucleotide ribosomal RNA is filed under the name uncultured bacterium. Its description in RNAcentral is "partial 16S ribosomal RNA". It matches the Rfam family "Bacterial small subunit ribosomal RNA", at positions 338 to 795 of the family's 1533-position model. The record is from RNAcentral.